RNAcentral lists this ribosomal RNA (107 nucleotides) under Mesomycoplasma hyorhinis. RNAcentral also lists the same sequence under 2 other names. The record is from RNAcentral. Lineage: Bacteria; Bacillati; Mycoplasmatota; Mycoplasmoidales; Metamycoplasmataceae.
UAAGAGCAACGAUAGCAAAGGGGAUCACCUGAUACCAUUCCGAACUCAGAAGUUAAGCCCUUUAACGCCGAAAAUACUAGAGAUAGGAAGAUAGGAAGUUGCUUUUU